UACGUAGGGUGCGAGCGUUAAUCGGAAUUAUUGGGCGUAAAGCGUGCGUAGGCGGUCUCUCGAGUCCGAUGUGAAAUCCCCGGGCUCAACCUGGGACCUGCGUUGGAAACUACGAGGCUGGAGUACGGCAGAGGGGGGUGGAAUUCCACGUGUAGCAGUGAAAUGCGUAGAGAUGUGGAAGAACACCGAUGGCGAAGGCAGCCCCCUGGGAUAACACUGACGCUCAGGCUCGAAAGCGUGGGGAGCAAACAGG
RNAcentral lists this ribosomal RNA (253 nucleotides) under uncultured bacterium. RNAcentral's name for it is "partial 16S ribosomal RNA". It matches the Rfam family "Bacterial small subunit ribosomal RNA", at positions 524 to 776 of the family's 1533-position model. The record is from RNAcentral.